UGAUUUUUUGAUAUACAGAAC
This 21-nucleotide non-coding RNA is filed under the name Caenorhabditis elegans. Lineage: Eukaryota; Metazoa; Nematoda; Chromadorea; Rhabditida; Rhabditidae. The record is from RNAcentral.